Aedes aegypti (yellow fever mosquito) is the source of this 442-nucleotide long non-coding RNA. RefSeq lists it as uncharacterized. The record is from RefSeq and is a predicted model, not a curated record. Lineage: Eukaryota; Metazoa; Arthropoda; Insecta; Diptera; Culicidae. The transcript is spliced from 3 exons.
UCUAUUCUCGGUUUUAGGUGCUUUUAACUUAUUCUUAGAGUACUACCGAAAUAAUUCAUUUUUGAGUUAUUUGAAAGUUAUUAUCUUCGAUGAUUUAUUUUGUUUACUCUUUUCGUAUGAAAGUACCCAAAAUGAAGAGUUUAAACCAGACUCUAUUUUGGAUGAAAAAAUUAAACGGCUCCAUUAGUUAAGUUCAGUUAGAGAUGUUGUUGAAUUAUUUCGCUGUAUUGUGUACGAGUGUUAUUGCAUGGGAAUAAACUGCACCAUCUUCUGACGACUUGGAAAUGCCAUAGGAAAAUAGAACGGAUUCGAAAUCUGAAAAACUUCAAAUUCACAGGACAACCUUCAUAUAACAGCUGCGCCAAAUGAGCAGGAGGAAUCGCUGGACUAAUCACAGAUUCAUCGCCGGAACGGAGACUGGGAACCGGGAUGCGGAUGGCAU